UCCUAACUUUGCACCUUUGGCGCCAUAAGCUGCUUCAAUGCGGCGAUAAGGCUUAAUAGGGAAUUCCGUUGAUCCGGAAGCUGUCCCCGCAACUGUGAGUCUGUUUAUAAUGAUCCAAUCCCAAUGCCACUGUUCUGCGAACGGGAAGGCCAUGGAUCAAGAGACGAGCCAGGAGACCUGCCAAAAGUUGAUCCAUCAA
Molecule: non-coding RNA, 199 nt
Filed under: Dyadobacter psychrophilus
Lineage: Bacteria; Pseudomonadati; Bacteroidota; Cytophagia; Cytophagales; Spirosomataceae
Source: RNAcentral